GAAAAAAAUGUGACUACCUCAGGCUGAAAGUGAAGUGAAAUGUACUUGUAAAACUAGAGCUUGGAGGCGUGGAUGCUCCAUUUCUCUCUUGGUCGUUGGUGAUUCUAUAUGACUGUAUCUUAUAAAUAUAUACAUUUGUGUCCAUAAGUGUCCAUGUAUUUUAAUAUUGAUUAGUUUCUCCACACCUACUCUUCUUUGCCUGUUAAACCUCUCCCAAGGAGGAAUAUUCCUGUCAUGCAUUAUUGUAAGUAAAUAACUGUGAAUGUUAAGAUCAUUUCUUACCCAUAUGUCACCUCUAACCUUUGUGUAAAAUGUCUUUUACAUUAGCAUAAAUAUUAAGAAGAUGCCAUUUCUGCUAUAUAUAGGGCUGCCUUCAGCUAAUCAGUUUUUCAUGCAUUUAAAUAGAAAUAUUAGAAUGAUGGUAAUUACUUUAGUUUUCCAUGAAUGAUCCAUCAAGACAGUGCCUUUUACUAGAUGGUAUUGCUCAGGGUUAGUAGGACCAAAUUCGAUUGUUAGCUGAGUGAUCUUCAGUGUCUUGUGACUUUUAAAAAAAAAAAAAAAUUCAUUCUCAACUCUAUUGUCUUUUCUAAGAGUAAAUGCACAAAUCGCUUUAAGAAGAAUAAUCUGUAGUGCAUGGAGACUGAGAGAAAUUGUAAUUCAUUGUAAAAUAAGUCCUGUUUAUUAAAUGCAUGAAAGACAAAAGAUUUUCAGGCAGGUGACAAAACCUCACACACACGCACGCGCACACACAAUGAAUGUGAGAAAAUUCAUACUUUUUGAAAAAGUGCCUUUAUCAAACAAGA
RNAcentral lists this long non-coding RNA (803 nucleotides) under Homo sapiens (human). RNAcentral describes it as "HSALNT0114931". The record is from RNAcentral. Lineage: Eukaryota; Metazoa; Chordata; Mammalia; Primates; Hominidae.